AUUAAACGCUUAUUGUUUGAUUGAUUACAAAUGAAUUUAAUAGUAGUUGUAGUUGAAAAAGCAGGAACUUGAAACUAUGUUGCCCAUGCUUGUUCAUAUUCGAUGCACUUCGAAUUGUA
This is a non-coding RNA of Caenorhabditis elegans, 119 nucleotides long. The record is from Ensembl. NCBI's taxonomy places the organism in Eukaryota, Metazoa, Nematoda, Chromadorea, Rhabditida, Rhabditidae.